GCCCGGGUGGCGGAACUGGCAGACGCACAGGACUUAAAAUCCUGCGGGAUAACACCCGUACCGGUUCGAUUCCGGUCCCGGGCA
Molecule: transfer RNA, 84 nt
Rfam family: tRNA
About the family: Transfer RNA (tRNA) molecules are approximately 80 nucleotides in length. Their secondary structure includes four short double-helical elements and three loops (D, anti-codon, and T loops).
Source: Rfam